GGGUAACCUGCCUGUAAGACUGGGAUAACUCCGGGAAACCGGGGCUAAUACCGGAUAACUCAGUUCCUCGCAUGAGGAACGGUUGAAAGGUGGCUUUUCGCUACCACUUACAGAUGGACCCGCGGCGCAUUAGCUAGUUGGUGAGGUAACGGCUCACCAAGGCGACGAUGCGUAGCCGACCUGAGAGGGUGAUCGGCCACACUGGGACUGAGACACGGCCCAGACUCCUACGGGAGGCAGCAGUAGGGAAUCUUCCGCAAUGGACGAAAGUCUGACGGAGCAACGCCGCGUGAGUGAAGAAGGUUUUCGGAUCGUAAAACUCUGUUGUUAGGGAAGAACAAGUGCCGUUCGAAUAGGGCGGCACCUUGACGGUACCUAACCAGAAAGCCACGGCUAACUACGUGCCAGCAGCCGCGGUAAUACGUAGGUGGCAAGCGUUGUCCGGAAUUAUUGGGCGUAAAGCGCGCGCAGGUGGUUUCUUAAGUCUGAUGUGAAAGCCCACGGCUCAACCGUGGAGGGUCAUUGGAAACUGGGGAACUUGAGUGCAGAAGAGGAAAGUGGAAUUCCAAGUGUAGCGGUGAAAUGCGUAGAUAUUUGGAGGAACACCAGUGGCGAAGGCGACUUUCUGGUCUGUAACUGACACUGAGGCG
Molecule: ribosomal RNA, 650 nt
Filed under: Rossellomorea vietnamensis
Lineage: Bacteria; Bacillati; Bacillota; Bacilli; Caryophanales; Bacillaceae
Description: bacterial SSU rRNA
Rfam family: Bacterial small subunit ribosomal RNA
Source: RNAcentral